Long non-coding RNA from Syngnathus typhle (broad-nosed pipefish), 3935 nucleotides. RefSeq lists it as uncharacterized. The record is from RefSeq and is a predicted model, not a curated record. NCBI's taxonomy places the organism in Eukaryota, Metazoa, Chordata, Actinopteri, Syngnathiformes, Syngnathidae. The transcript is spliced from 4 exons.
AAAAUAAAAUACCUUGUAAAGUGAAGUCAUAGGUUUGUGGGAGCUAGCUCAGUGCUCGAGCAGCUAGCAAGUUCAGUUCAAAGUCACUUUAUUGUCAAUCCCCUCAUAUGACGAGACACAGUACACGAUAAACAUACAAGUAGACGACACAAAAUAAAAACAAGAAGGCACAAACAAUAACUAAUAAAUAAAUUAAAUAAGGGAUGAAUAAAUAUUAAACAAAUAACCCAAUAAAUAAGAGGAGCAAAACUGAGCCAGUCUGCGUACAGCAGACAGUAAGCAUAGCGCAAAGUACAGGACGCUACGCAGAAAGGGGGGGCGAGUUCAGGAUCCUAACAGCCUGGAGUAUGACGCUGUUUGAGAGUCUGGUGGUGCGGGAGCGCAGGCUCCUGUACCUCUUCCCAGAGGGCAGAAGCUCAAACAAAGAGUGAGCGGGGUGACUCACAUCAUACGUAGCAUGCAAUUUUCAGGUCAUUUGCAAUCGACAUGAAAAAGCUUUUUUGUUGCAUAUUCUUAGUGUGAUUUACUUCCCCCCCCCACCCCUAAAUCGGAAGGACAUUUAGCAGCAAUAUAGAAUUCAGCGUAACGCUAUCCAACCUUGUCUGCACCGUUGGUGCAAAUGUUCGUUCUACUGUCCCUUAUAUAGAAACUUGAGAGAUGAAAGUGGCUUUGUCUCCAUUUGAGUCCAGUUUUCGCCCAGUGGUAGCAAGAUAGGCCUGCAAUUUGGCCAAAUGACUAUUAUUUUCCUUUCUCAAGGAACAAGUACAGCACAAUGGAUUGGUGUUACACAGCUGCAGUCAUGCACUGCAUAUGUUUUGUGUAUAAAGCACCUCUCGAGAUUUAGAGAAUCUUUGCAUGUAUACUGAGUGUUUCCAUCCAAGUGAAGCUUAACUGUUUGUUUGUUUUUAAUCAUCAGGAUUGAAGGGUGUCCUUUUUUGGUGCCCAUUCUUGCCCUUGAUCAAUCGCACAAGGCAGACAGUAGCACUGAUCAUUUUCCCCUAGCAAGGAAACCCAGCAUGGAUCAACUCAAUAAUCCGAUAUCCUCCUUUGACUCAAUGUGGACAAUUAAGCGCCAGAGGCCGCUGCAGAGUCCCCCCCCACCCCCCGCAUCGACUACGAGCUGACAAGAAUCUACACGGGCGCAUGACGGCUCUGUGGCAGCUUUGACAAAGCAACAAUGCAGAUAAUUACGGCACCGAGUAAAAACCCAAAAUGGAAUUUCAUUGUGUCCCGUGGAAACAAUGGCGAAGCUGUCUCGGCAACACGUCUGCUGAUGUUGUAACGACUGGGAGCCCAAAGUCAACUGGGUUAGGCUCCACCACAACCUCGAUCCAGAAGAUGGUUUAUUGUACUAAAACAUCUCAUCUGAGUACCAGGACUGAAAAUUACAGGAUUUCUUUUAAGCAUCAAUUAGCAAAUAUGCGAAUUGUAGCAACAUAGCCUUUUUGCUAAUAGCAUGUUGACACAAAGCACAUAACAGCGAUUGGACCAAAAUAUAAAAAAACCUCUUGGGCCAUCGUUUAAAUAUCAUCAAAUAGACAGAAAAAGAAAUAAUUUAGUUUUGACCUCCCCUUGGCCUGCAUCUGUUCGUUGGCUCAUUAAUAGUCAGCCAUCCAAUCACCAAUCGCAAAUUUACUCAGUCCGACUCGGAGGACGACUUAGCGUGCUGUUUCCACUAACGCGAAGGGUCGCCGUGGCGCGGCCGCCCGACAUGACCGUCGUUAUCUGGGGUGGAAAUGCGUGUGUCCAGAAGUGAGGGCUGAGCUUUGUGCUGUGGAGCAAGGCCACCUCGCAGCCUUUGUGCCCCGUAACAAGCCCAGCUCAGGCUCCAGCGAAGCGAGAAAUUGUAAACUCUCCGGAGAGGCCCAGCGAGAAGAUAAGGGCUGCAUGUUGGCUGCCAAUGUGCAUGUGGAUGAAUCUGAUAGAGGCCGCUCCCACGCCAGAAUGGGAGUGAUGAUACCUCCCCUUCUAUAGUGAUUUAUGUUUAAUCCCCUUUGCCCGUGUAUUCACUUGCAAAUACUCCUGUCACCAUUAAUAUGUAUUAACAGCCCUCACGCUCAGCUCAAUACAGAUUUGCUCGGGUCUAUUUUUCCCCCACACGCUGGCCGUCUUUGAUCGACCAGAAUAGACCAGAAUGUACCGCCGGUGUUCGGGCCGCCGAAUCUUGAUGGCCGAGCUUUGUCGCGUCGUCACGUGACUGGCGUUUUACGAGCUGCGGGAAACAGCAGCAUCAUUCACUCCUGACAAUAACAUUGAAUAUUCAAAGUUCUUGUUUAUUAAUAUCAUUAAUGACAUUCAAUGAUGUCGUCUAACAAGAUAAGAAAUGUUGGAUGGGAUUUGUUUGAGACUCCUCUUGUCGGAGGCUUAAUCCAGACAAAGCCCUGAGAGGCUCAUUAGAGCCCGGUGAGGCCUUAAACCUACUCGGCUCGCAUUAAAGCCCAGCCCAGAGCAGCCUGUCAGCUCGCUGGCACGACCCAAAUCAAGCUGUCAAUUACCAGACAUGUUUAUGGAAAUUACAUGUUUGUUAACAUGCUGGAAAAAUCUGCUCUCGCCUCGGGCAGAAUGUGUUAGGAGAAACAAUUUUUGUUCAGCAGUCACCUUUCAAAGGGAUGAAGGUGAUCCUCAUCGGAUCGUAGACACAAUGGGGAUUGUAAACGCUCCCUUGGCUAAUGUGAACGCCCACUGCGUAGAAACACAACUGGUAAUCAAAGCUGAAAUCCGUACAUGAUAAGAUGCUUUUGUUUAAGGCAGUUUCGUUGUGUCUUGGCAGUUGUUCCGCCCCUUUUUGUCCUCUUCCACGUUAGACUGUAGCGUCGCCUGUUUGACUAACAGCACUGGACAAAGGCAACUUUUUAACAUUUAGAACAUUGCGACUGUACUCUUAGUGAUUCUUUUUUUAACAUUUAUAACCCGAUUGGCAGUGAUUUAAUAGUUCCGCGGGAAAGAAAUGGCAAAAAGUUGACACAUUUAUUACAUUAUUUUAUUAUUAUUUAAUAUAUUAAAAUAUUUAUUCCAGCAUCCAAACUUUUUUUUUCUUAACUUGACUUCUUUUUUAAGUGAUGAAUAAAUUAUUCCUUGGUUUUCAACACAGCGUGAGACUGCCCUGGUUUUAGCGUUCUUUUUGGUUUUAAGUUAUGUUCAAAUGUCUUUUGUUUCCUGUUUAAUUAUUCUGUUUGUGUGGAAAUAUUUCUUCCAUCCCAUAUAUUCUCUAUUUGAUUUGACACUUUGAAAUCGUUUAUCUCCUCAAAUAAAAGUAUGCCAUAUAAAUGAAUUAAUUUCAACACUAUGUUUGCGUCAGGUCCCUGUUUGAUUAGAUUUUUUUUCUCCGCUUGGGCAUAAAAGUGGUGAUUUUAGCCUUGCGAGGAAAUUGAGCCGAUCGACGUGCACAUUUGGCAUGUCUGGCUGAGCUCAUCUUAGACAAGGUAAUUUUGCCGGAGCAAUUACCACCGUAAUGUAUUUCAAAGUCGGGGCAUUUGCUGCUGCUUAGGUGAACCUCUGACAGCAUGUUUUGAUUUUCAACCAAUUGUUCGCCUCACGGUUCUCCUUCCCUACGUAACAAUCCGCCAUGAUGCCAUUAACAUCUAAUUACCUCACUAUACUCUGACUUGGUAGAUUUGACGGAAAACUAAGUAAAGAUGUCCACGAGGGACUUUACGGUCCUGUUCGUAGUGGACCCGUAUUACCUGGCGGGGAUGGUGCAAAUGCCCCAGAGAAUGUCAGUGCGCAGUGAAACUGUCAUCACACAAUUACCCCCACCAUUACAGGCCCAACAUCUCCAUGUAAUGGCCGUGACACUCUUUAUAAUUCAGAUUGUAGUCGCAGUCAGCGGCACUUAAACGCUGCUGCACUCUGUUUUAUGAAAAGAUAAAGAUCUGUGUAAUCUGCCCGGUGCUCAACCAUCCCUUGAAUGCUUGUCAGGCAGCGUUUUCGUCAUU